Small nucleolar RNA from Pistacia vera, 107 nucleotides. The record is from RefSeq and is a predicted model, not a curated record. Lineage: Eukaryota; Viridiplantae; Streptophyta; Magnoliopsida; Sapindales; Anacardiaceae.
AAACCAUAGUGUGGACACUUUCUCAAUAGUCCCUUAUAUCUCUCCCACGCUUCAUAAAGUGACUCGUUCCCUUCCUACAUAAAUGAUGUGAUAUUGUUUCUCAUCUU